GACGAACGCUGGCGGCGUGCUUAACACAUGCAAGUCGAACGGAAAGGCCCUGCUUUUGUGGGGUGCUCGAGUGGCGAACGGGUGAGUAACACGUGAGUAACCUGCCCUUGACUUUGGGAUAACUUCAGGAAACUGGGGCUAAUACCGGAUAGGAGCUCCUGCUGCAUGGUGGGGGUUGGAAAGUUUCGGCGGUUGGGGAUGGACUCGCGGCUUAUCAGCUUGUUGGUGGGGUAGUGGCUUACCGAGGCUUUGACGGGUAGCCGGCCUGAGAGGGUGACCGGCCACAUUGGGACUGAGAUACGGCCCAGACUCCUACGGGAGGCAGCAGUGGGGAAUAUUGCACAAUGGGCGGAAGCUUGAUGCAGCAACGCCGCGUGCGGGAUGACGGCCUUCGGGUUGUAAACCGCUUUCGCCUGUGACGAAGCGUGAGUGACGGUAAUGGGUAAAGAAGCACCGGCUAACUACGUG
Molecule: ribosomal RNA, 468 nt
Filed under: uncultured bacterium
Lineage: Bacteria
Description: partial 16S ribosomal RNA
Rfam family: Bacterial small subunit ribosomal RNA
Source: RNAcentral